RNAcentral lists this small nucleolar RNA (104 nucleotides) under Ricinus communis (castor bean). Its description in RNAcentral is "Plant small nucleolar RNA R71". It matches the Rfam family "Plant small nucleolar RNA R71". From Rfam's summary of the family: R71 is a member of the C/D box family of snoRNAs containing the C (UGAUGA) and D (CUGA) box motifs. Multiple nearly identical copies of this snoRNA have been identified in Arabidopsis, and it is thought to function as a 2'-O-ribose methylation guide for 18S ribosomal RNA. Lineage: Eukaryota; Viridiplantae; Streptophyta; Magnoliopsida; Malpighiales; Euphorbiaceae. The record is from Rfam by way of RNAcentral.
AGUCUGUGGUGCGGGCAACAUCAGAGCAAGUCCUUGUACUCCCAUGCAUCAUACAUGCUCUCGUCAUCGAACUGCACAAAAGAAGAUAUAUCAUUGCUUGGACA